RNAcentral lists this unclassified non-coding RNA (337 nucleotides) under soil metagenome. Its description in RNAcentral is "partial contains 5.8S ribosomal RNA, internal transcribed spacer 2, and large subunit ribosomal RNA". The stretch from base 1 to 120 matches the Rfam family "5.8S ribosomal RNA", at positions 35 to 154 of the family's 154-position model. The record is from RNAcentral.
GAUGAAGAACGCAGCGAAAUGCGAUAAGUAAUGUGAAUUGCAGAAUUCAGUGAAUCAUCGAAUCUUUGAACGCACAUUGCGCCCGCCAGUAUUCUGGCGGGCAUGCCUGUUCGAGCGUCAUUUCAACCAUCAAGCCCCCCGGCUUGUGUUGGGGACCUGCGGCUGCCGCAGGCCCUGAAAAGCAGUGGCGGGCUCGCUGUCACACCGAGCGUAGUAGCAUACAUCUCGCUCUGGGCGUGCUGCGGGUUCCGGCCGUUAAACCACCUUCAUAACCCAAGGUUGACCUCGGAUCAGGUAGGGAGACCCGCUGAACUUAAGCAUAUCAAUAAGCGGAGGA